This 1130-nucleotide long non-coding RNA is filed under the name Homo sapiens (human). RNAcentral's name for it is "HSALNT0017193". The record is from RNAcentral. Lineage: Eukaryota; Metazoa; Chordata; Mammalia; Primates; Hominidae.
UUCUUCUGAAAAUCCUUUGUAGCAGAUUCUAUUAGCUUCAGAUUUACCAUGAGCAUGUGAUGCUUAGGCUACGGCAGCCAUCUUGGUACCCUGAGAAGAGUCACCCUAAGAGAAGAUGCCAGCAUUCUAGGAAAAGCAGGGCGGGGAUGGAGAAAAAAUCCAGGGCCUGGAUGACAUUGCUGAGCUGCUGAGUUAACCUAGAACUAUCCUAACUCAAGAUUUCUCUUUAUAAGAAUCUCUCUUGCAGGAGUAACACAGGCAUGUGGAGAAUUUCUCAGAGUAUUUCCGCAGCAACCAACUGGCAUGAAGAAUACUUUGCUGAAACAUGGGGUUCAAAAGCAGCCCACAGCUCUCUUUCAGACCUCUGAAGUCACACCCAGUGGUCUAGUCAACAUUUCCUCUUGCAGAGAUUGUAAAGGUUUCAAUCUUAACACCAUGUGACUAAUUCGGUCUCUAUGAUCAAAGCCUUAUAAGAAAGAAUGACUGGUUGACCCGACAUGGACCAAGUGACCGUUCUUGUUCCCAGUGUGUUGUGGGCUAAGAAGAGAUGGGCACAGAAUGAUGGGAACGCAGAGCGAAAGGGCCCAACUCUACCAGGAGGGGAAGAUAAAAACUCCUGAAGAAAUUAUACAAAAAUAGAAUACUUACAACAGAAUUCUCAACAUCAUUUUUCCCUGUUUGAAUCCAGCAAGUCAGCCAUUGGUCACUUAAGAGCACUAACCCCUCCCUGGUUUGAAGAUGUUCUUGACUUUAAAUACAAACAUCUGAUAUUCCAGCUUAGACUCCUCCACAAGAACUAGAGUGUCAUCCUAUUUUGGCUUCCAGCUCAGUCCCUCUGCUACAAGUCUUGACUCCAGAACUCUGUGGGAUAAUAAAAUACAAGAUCAUAGCUUGAAAAUAGAGCGUGCAUCUGGUGUGGUUUGUUGUUUUGGCUUAAUUAGGACUUGCCGUUUCCUGAAUUCCUGUAAUCUCAUUUGAUGAAUUGUGUUGGUUACUUGCUCUGCAGGCUUUGAGCAUGUGGCACAUAUCAGAGGAAAUGAUUUCCCCUUUCUUCUUUGAAAAUCAUCUUCUGGUGCAUUAAAAAAAGAAAGCCAAUGUUUUUGGAUUUCUUUAGCUGUCCAUAGAAUUAC